Molecule: ribosomal RNA, 465 nt
Filed under: uncultured bacterium
Lineage: Bacteria
Description: bacterial SSU rRNA
Rfam family: Bacterial small subunit ribosomal RNA
Source: RNAcentral
UUACGGGAGGCAGCAGUGGGGAAUUUUGGACAAUGGGCGCAAGCCUGAUCCAGCCAUGCCGCGUGCGGGAAGAAGGCCUUCGGGUUGUAAACCGCUUUUGUCGGGGAAGAAAUACUCUGGACUAAUACUCUGGGGUGAUGACGGUACCUGAAGAAUAAGCACCGGCUAACUACGUGCCAGCAGCCGCGGUAAUACGUAGGGUGCGAGCGUUAAUCGGAAUUACUGGGCGUAAAGCGUGCGCAGGCGGUUGUGUAAGACAGAUGUGAAAUCCCCGGGCUCAACCUGGGAAUGGCAUUUGUGACUGCACAGCUAGAGUACGGUAGAGGGGGAUGGAAUUCCGCGUGUAGCAGUGAAAUGCGUAGAUAUGCGGAGGAACACCGAUGGCGAAGGCAGUCCCCUGGACCUGUACUGACGCUCAUGCACGAAAGCGUGGGGAGCAAACAGGAUUAGAUACCCUUGUAGUCU